ACGGAGGGUGCAAGCGUUGUUCGGAAUUACUGGGCGUAAAGGGCGCGUAGGCGGUUUGAUAAGUCAGAUGUGAAAGCCCACGGCUUAACUGUGGAAGUGCAUUUGAAACUGUCAGACUUGAGUACCAGAGGGGAAAGUGGAAUUCCCGGUGUAGAGGUGUAAUUCGUAUAUAUCGGGAGGAAUACCGGUGGCGAAGGCGACUUUCUAGCUGGGUACUGACGCUGAGGCUCGAAAGCUUGGGGAGCAAACAG
This 251-nucleotide ribosomal RNA is filed under the name uncultured prokaryote. RNAcentral describes it as "partial 16S rRNA". It matches the Rfam family "Bacterial small subunit ribosomal RNA", at positions 525 to 775 of the family's 1533-position model. The record is from RNAcentral.